CAGCCCACGUCCCCUCCCUUUAACUCUUUGCUGGGCUGGGCGCUCCCUCCGGCGCCGCCUGCCUGGAAGCCUUCUCCCCGGCCUGCUGGAAGCCUUCUCCCGAGUCUGCCCCUUGCCUCAAGAAUCCAGAGCACCUUCCCGAGUGGCAACGCUUCUUCAAGAGCGGCGGGUCCAACUCUACCUAAAAGCUUGGGCCCUCUGAUACUGCUAGGAGGGGGAAAUCAGUUUCAGGAUCGGAAAGAAAGGACCGGUGGGAGAGUUACAAAUGUUGAAAAGAUUGCUUCAAACAUCUGGGGAAAAAACACUCAAGACAGAAGAAUAGUGGCAAGAUUCUUAAGUGAAAUGAGAGAAGAGAAGGAAAAGAAAGAACAGGAGAAAAAGGACAGCAAGUUAAGACUCAAAAGUAGCCAAAACAGAAGUGCAGUCCUGCAGAAAUCACAGCAAGAUACAGCGUGUACUGGGGUGGUGUGAGGGUGGUGUUCAGGGAUUUAAUUCCAUUAAUCUGAGGAAUAGAACACUUCUUUGUGCCUGUUUUAGAUAUUCUUUAGAAAACACACAGUUUGUCUUUUCCAGAAAAAAGUCAUCUGUCCAUGCAAGCCACUUUUGUAAUCCUAUCACACACAGUAAAUGUAAAAGCAUCCACUCCAGAAGAUGGGCAUUUAGAAGCUCUAAAUGGAAGACAUUUUUCUUGUGCCUUGCUUUUUUUCUUAAGUAUAGAGAAUUUCUCCUUUCUCCUUUCUACUAUGUCUCUUUUACAUAUGAGACCUUGUCUCCAGUUUGUAUAAUACAAAGUGUUUCUGGUACUUAAAAUGGGGGUGGGUAAACUUGACCUUUAAAUCUCAAGCUAGAAAAGGACUACAAUUGUAUACAUCAGAGAAAGGAGAGGUUUAUUGAGAAUCUGGCCUUCAGAUGUUUCAUCUAAGUUUCUUUUUCUUUUUCUCUUUCUUUCUUUCUUUCUUUUUAAAAAAUUUUUUUUUUGCCUAAAUUAGAUUCCUUCUCCUGCUUUUUUAAAAAAUCCUCCCAUUAUAUGGAUCCAACCAACUCUUUGUUUUAUGGACCAAAUGACUAACUUAACAACAGCAAUAAAAAUCAAAUAUGGGUAAGAAAUUCAUGCUUGGAGAGUUUUCCAGUAUUUUAAGUAGUACACAUUUUACAUGGUAAUAUAAAUGGUGUAAAUGACAAUCAUUAAUAGUAGAUUUAAAAAAUCACAAAUUAUUUUUAUUUCUCUAGAACUUCACAGGUUAGAACAGGUUAGAAUGGUGCAAAAACUACUUUGAAAUCACUUACUAGAAUACAGUGAUACUAAAUGAAGGGUUGAGGAAUUUAUUCAGUCUCAGACAGUACUAUAAAAAUAUACCUCAGUCAAUAGUUUUAUGUAAUUGACACGGAAUGAUGGGUUUAUGCAUACAUUUGGAGCUCUUUUCCCUGGGAUUUUAUUUCCAAUUAAGUGGUUAGAAGAAUGACAAUGAAGAGUAUGCUCACCUUAUUCUGCUUUAGCAAGACUUCUUGUAAUCAUGGAAAAAAUACACAUGUAGACAACUGCAGUGUUGUUGGGAAGAGAAGUCUGGAGAGAAGUUGAUGAAUGAUUCUGAAGUGGUGCCUUUUAUGACCUAAGUGAGAGGGUGGAGAAUGAGUGAGAAAGGAAAUCUGAUUCUCAGUGAAUAUCAGAAGAAGAAUGCUCUUUCUCUUCCAGGGUCCAGAAAAUAUCUUAAUUUCUGUAAUAGGAAACAAGUAAAAAUAACCCUGCAAAUAAUCUUACUUUGAAGAUUAUCCUAUAAGAAUGAAAACACAUUGUUUUCCUAUUCCAGGUCCCAGUUCAUCCCUUCUAAUUAUUUUUCCAAAGCAAUACACCAGCAAAGGUUUGCUUGUCAAAAGUGUGGCAAUUCAUAGCGAAAAGAAAAUUGCACUUGAAGACAAGAGGAUGCCAAUGAAGCAGAUGAAGCAGACGGUGGCAGCUCUUCCCUAAGUUUAUUAAUUUCCCACAGAGAGGUCUGUGCAUGGGGCUAUUGGGAGUUGUGGGAGACAGAGAAUGGAACUUCAUGGAGAAGUAUUGCAUUACCUAACCCUGACAUCCAGAAUAAGGAACUUUCUAAGAGAUAAACUUGACUGAUUACUUGUACAUGAAGGAGAAACAGAAAUAAUGGUUUGGUGGGUAGGGAAAAACCACCAGUCUUGUACCAAAAGUGUUGUUCAGAGGAUUGUUAACUCAUUUCUUUUGCCUUUUGUCAGGAGAAUGAUAACUGGGAGUUUAAGAAGGGAAAGUGAGAAGCUGGGGAUAUAGCUUGCCUUGCAUGCACAAGGCCUUGGGUUCAAUCCCCAGCACCACACACACACACACACACACACACACAAAAAAAAAAGAUAGAGGGAGGGAGUAUCUUAAUCUGACUAUUUCUUUAUUAUAUCUUGAUGAGUAAAGAAGAUCUGCUGCUGAACUGCAGAAGGGUUUAUAGGGAAUGAGGGGGGCACCCUGUAUUUUUAUAAGUAUACAUGACCAGCUCUGUUUAGGUCUGGUCAUUACACCAAGUAUUUGGGUUGGUUCACUGGGUGAUAAAUGAGUAAAUGUUACCCAGGCUGGUCCUGAGAAAGCCAGAGACUCAGGAGUGGAUAAUUCUGUAGCCUUGAAGAAGGUCUUCAAUUCUGACUGUAGAAAUCAUGAUUCUGGAUUCACUUUUGUCUGCUUCUCAAUAAACACUACUGUUUUAAUGCUGAUGAUGAUACCACUAGUAUUAUCAUCAUGAUUAAAAAUCUCCCUUUCUCAAGUUUAAAAUCUUUCUCUGUGAGGAAUGAUAAUUCCAUUUACACUUCUUUUGGAGUUCAUCAUUGAAAGUUUUGUGUUGCCCUCUCCUGUUAACCUCUACUGGAUCUGACCUGUAGUCAACUGGCUCAAUGGCUUCAGUGUAUGACUUUCAGGAGAGCUAACAAAUUAAAGUGAUCUACCACAGAUCUGAAAUCAA
This 2957-nucleotide long non-coding RNA is filed under the name Ictidomys tridecemlineatus (thirteen-lined ground squirrel). Its description in RNAcentral is "lncRNA (ENSSTOG00000029399.1)". Lineage: Eukaryota; Metazoa; Chordata; Mammalia; Rodentia; Sciuridae. The record is from RNAcentral.